RNAcentral lists this ribosomal RNA (497 nucleotides) under uncultured bacterium. Its description in RNAcentral is "partial 16S ribosomal RNA". It matches the Rfam family "Bacterial small subunit ribosomal RNA", at positions 28 to 507 of the family's 1533-position model. The record is from RNAcentral.
GAUGAACGCUGGCGGCGUGCCUAAUACAUGCAAGUCGAGCGAACGGACGAGAAGCUUGCUUCUCUGAUGUUAGCGGCGGACGGGUGAGUAACACGUGGAUAACCUACCUAUAAGACUGGGAUAACUUCGGGAAACCGGAGCUAAUACCGGAUAAUAUUUUGAACCGCAUGGUUCAAAAGUGAAAGACGGUCUUGCUGUCACUUAUAGAUGGAUCCGCGCUGCAUUAGCUAGUUGGUAAGGUAACGGCUUACCAAGGCAACGAUGCAUAGCCGACCUGAGAGGGUGAUCGGCCACACUGGAACUGAGACACGGUCCAGACUCCUACGGGAGGCAGCAGUAGGGAAUCUUCCGCAAUGGGCGAAAGCCUGACGGAGCAAUGCCGCGUGAGUGAUGAAGGUCUUCGGAUCGUAAAACUCUGUUAUUAGGGAAGAACAUAUGUGUAAGUAACUGUGCACAUCUUGACGGUACCUAAUCAGAAGGCCACGGCUAACUACGUG